This 99-nucleotide transfer RNA is filed under the name Streptomyces roseirectus. Its description in RNAcentral is "Streptomyces sp. CRXT-G-22 tRNA-OTHER". The record is from RNAcentral. Lineage: Bacteria; Bacillati; Actinomycetota; Actinomycetes; Kitasatosporales; Streptomycetaceae.
CCCCCUGUAGCUCAACGGAAGAGCACUGCGCACCCUUUCCCCCACGGCGAUCGAAGAAUCGCCCGCGCAGAGGUCUUGGUUCGACUCCAGGCAGGGGGG